ACUGGAACACUGAUAAGUUGAAUGAGACCACAGGUGCAUUUGCAAGUUGUUUUGUUCAAGAUCAAAACUGCACGAUCUUGUUGGCAAUAAUGCAACAUUUGUUCUUGCAAGAUGUCUAUAUCGGUGUAAAAGUUCUGAAAGCAAAUAUGUCAUCAUCGACCGAACAGUAGCCAUUCCCUUCAGCUCCCGCGCUGCUAUUAAGCGUGUCACCGUCGACGGCGGCGUCACCCUUCGGCCGGGGCCCAAGCGCCAGUCAGCCAGCUGCCCCAAACAUGCGUGACGUUUAUAUUGUGCGCCGAAAAACAAACGCACUACCGCCCUUUGCUAUGAAAAGUUAUCAGAGCGCCUGGAAGAAUAUAGAUGGACGAAGGGCUUUCCAGAAGAACAAAUUAAAAUCGGCUCAAAUAAUGCUAGAAAUCAAAAAAGAAAGGAUGAUUGACAUACCCUCCACUGAUGAUGUUGCAUCUGGUUUCUUGCCACCUGAACUCGCCUCCCAGCUCUUAAGACCGGCUACUCAUUGAUUUAAGAUCCUUCCAUUAUACAGGGAUCACUUAGGUGCCCUAACCCUUCAUGAGCUCUCUGUUUUUGACAUUAUACCUGGCAUAUGUGUACCAUUGCUGUUUGCAAGUGCAUCUUCUGUUUGGAGUGCAUAAAAUAUGGUCAGAAGAAGAAAUGUAUUUAUUUUGGGAAGGUUUGUAAAUGCAAAUGUGUGUGUAUGUGUGUUGUGAUAGAAGGGGCCUCAUGGCAGCCCUGCAUAUCCAGAAUAACACUAAUAGUUUUAAACAAAAAUAAGACCUUAAUUAACAAAAAUAAACACAAGAGAGAAAUAAGUACCUGGUGAAAAAUGUACACAGGAAAGAGAGACAUACAGGUUAAUGGCUUCUGUCCUGUCCCUUUUGUCGGGCAGACUGGCUUUUCUACUUGUCCACCAAAUUAGCACCAAGAAAUCAAUAUUUUGCCUCUUAAAUCUCUCUCUCUCUCUCUCGAUCGAUCUCUCGACACUGGCCUUUUUGUGGCCAGAUGACUGUAUCCAGGUAAUUUACAGACAAGCUCCAGGGCUUCUCAAGUUUGACUUCUGGCGUUAAUGCACCUCUAAGUCUUUAGUUGUUUUAACAAAGCUAGAUUUGUUUUUGACUACCUGCUUUACAGACAGCACAGACCCCAGUCAUUCCAGUCUGGUACAGUAUUAUUUGACUUGAUAGGCAGGAGGGUAAUUGUUGAAUUCCUGCUAGUGCCUGUCUUGCCAGGUGCUAUCUCCAACCUCCUGCAAACCCUUUGUGAAUUUAUUUGGUCCCUACUCAUUCAGCUUCAUUCCCUCUGAUCCUGAUUGGAAACAUCAUGCUUCUUCUAAGGCUACAACUUCUAAGGCUUCUUUCUACCCAUCUGGGAAACCUAUGCACACAUACUGGAUUGUGGGUACCUUCUGCCAUAUUAGUUCUGCUCUUGCCUCUGGUAAUCUCCACUCAGCCAAGCACCACUUCAGUGUGCCCUGUUAUGAACUGAUAAGCAAUCCAGAGCUGGUUCCUGCCGUAUGCAUGCUGUUUUUGAUAUUGUUUGUUACCCUUGUAAGUGUAUAAUAAAAAAAGGUAAUGGAAGUGGAUGGAUAGCUGGAAGAAUAUUUGCAAUUUUAAAAGUGUCUUUUUUGUGAGACAAAACAAA
This is a long non-coding RNA of Erpetoichthys calabaricus (reedfish), 1659 nucleotides long. RefSeq lists it as uncharacterized. The record is from RefSeq and is a predicted model, not a curated record. The transcript is spliced from 2 exons. NCBI's taxonomy places the organism in Eukaryota, Metazoa, Chordata, Cladistia, Polypteriformes, Polypteridae.